Molecule: ribosomal RNA, 491 nt
Filed under: uncultured bacterium
Lineage: Bacteria
Description: partial 16S ribosomal RNA
Rfam family: Bacterial small subunit ribosomal RNA
Source: RNAcentral
GUGAACGCUGGCGGUAGGCCUAACCCCUGCAAGUCGAACGGCAGCACAGUAAGAGCUUGCUCUUACGGGUGGCGAGUGGCGGACGGGUGAGGAAUACAUCGGAAUCUACUUUUUCGUGGGGGAUAACGUAGGGAAACUUACGCUAAUACCGCAUACGACCUACGGGUGAAAGCAGGGGAUCUUCGGACCUUGCGCGAUUGAAUGAGCCGAUGUCGGAUUAGCUAGUUGGCGGGGUAAAGGCCCACCAAGGCGACGAUCCGUAGCUGGUCUGAGAGGAUGAUCAGCCACACUGGAACUGAGACACGGUCCAGACUCCAACGGGAGGCAGCAGUGGGGAAUAUUGGACAAUGGGCGCAAGCCUGAUCCAGCCAUACCGCGUGGGUGAAGAAGGCCUUCGGGUUGUAAAGCCCUUUUGUUGGGAAAGAAAAGCAGCAGGUUAAUACCCCGCUGUUCUGACGGUACCCAAAGAAUAAGCACCGGCUAACUUCGUG